AUUGAACGCUGGCGGCAUGCUUUACACAUGCAAGUCGAACGGUAACAGGCCGCUAGGUGCUGACGAGUGGCUAACGGGUGAGUAAUGCAUCGGAACGUGCCCUGUCGUGGGGUCUAACUACUCGAAAGAGUAGCUAAUACCGCAUACGAUCUAUGGUUGAAAGCGGGGGACCGUAAGGCCUCGCGCGAUUGGCGCGGCCGUGGUCAGAUUCGGAAGUUGGUGGGGUAAAGGCAGACCAAGCCAACGAUCUGUAGCUGUUCUGAGAGAGCGAACGGCCACACGGGAGCUGAGACACAGCCAUGUAUCCUACGGGAGGCAACAGGGGGGAAUGUUAGACAAUGGGCGCAAGCAUGAUACAGCAAGCCCGCGUGAAGGAAGAAGACCUUGGGGUUGUAAAGAACUUUUGGACGGAACGAAACGACUCUGGUUAAUACCAGGGGCUAGUGACGGUACCGUAAGAAUAAGCACCGGCUAACUACGUG
This 482-nucleotide ribosomal RNA is filed under the name uncultured bacterium. Its description in RNAcentral is "partial 16S ribosomal RNA". It matches the Rfam family "Bacterial small subunit ribosomal RNA", at positions 30 to 507 of the family's 1533-position model. The record is from RNAcentral.